AGCGAACGCUGGCGGCAGGCCUAACACAUGCAAGUCGAGCGCCCAGCAAUGGGAGCGGCAGACGGGUGCGUAACACGUGGGAAUUUGCCUUUCGGUGGGGAAUAACGCAGGGAAACUUGCGCUAAUACCGCAUACGCCCGCAAGGGGAAAGAUUUAUCGCCGAAAGAUAAGCCCGCGUCUGAUUAGCUAGUUGGUAGGGUAAUGGCCUACCAAGGCGACGAUCAGUAGCUGGUCUGAGAGGAUGAUCAGCCACACUGGGACUGAGACACGGCCCAGACUCCUACGGGAGGCAGCAGUGGGGAAUAUUGGACAAUGGGCGCAAGCCUGAUCCAGCCAUGCCGCGUGAGUGAAGAAGGCCUUAGGGUUGUAAAGCUCUUUUGUGUGGGAAGAUAAUGACUGUACCACAAGAAUAAGUCCCGGCUAACUUCGUGCCAGCAGUAGCCGCAG
Molecule: ribosomal RNA, 447 nt
Filed under: uncultured bacterium
Lineage: Bacteria
Description: partial 16S ribosomal RNA
Rfam family: Bacterial small subunit ribosomal RNA
Source: RNAcentral